Molecule: transfer RNA, 66 nt
Filed under: Mileewa lamellata
Lineage: Eukaryota; Metazoa; Arthropoda; Insecta; Hemiptera; Cicadellidae
Description: tRNA-Met
Source: RNAcentral
AGAAAGAUAAGCUAAAAAAGCUAUUAGGUUCAUACCCUAAAUAUAGAAUAAAAAUUCUUUUUUCUA